This is a long non-coding RNA of Helicoverpa armigera (cotton bollworm), 475 nucleotides long. RefSeq lists it as uncharacterized. The record is from RefSeq and is a predicted model, not a curated record. The transcript is spliced from 2 exons. NCBI's taxonomy places the organism in Eukaryota, Metazoa, Arthropoda, Insecta, Lepidoptera, Noctuidae.
AAAUGUUCGAAAGAUUGACAGUACAAAAUGUUUGUUCUGAUUAAACUUAGUAUACAAACUUAUGUAUUUGUACUUUAUGUAAUAAAUAGGAGCUUACAGUUCCAUAACUAUUUUCUUAUUUUUUAAAGUUUCGAUGACCACCCGUGACCAUGAGGCAUCUACCACAAACUAGAAAACAAAGAAUAAAUUGAUUAUAAACUACCGAAAACUCAGGAUCAACCAUUAUAAUGAGCUAAAAUAUCCAGCUAAGACAAAUCUGGGCUAAAAUAUGCCUCGUACUGAAUGCGCAUGCGUGACAUGACUCCUAACAACCAGUCUCCUGAACUUGGACUAGUGUUUAUUACUUUAUUUUUAGGCCAAAAAACCCAUGAAACAUACAUACAUAUGUAUUGAUCUCUUUGUAUUCAGAUUAAUUGAAUUCGUUAUGUAAUGUGGUGCAAUUUACGAAAAUAGAUUCGCCGAAAUUAAUAUUCAA